GACGAACGCUGGCGGCGUGCCUAACACAUGCAAGUCGAACGGGACCAGAUGUCAGACAGCGGACAUCAGAAGACAGAUUACAGAUGGCAGAAUACAGAUUCAGAAGAGGGCGUGGAGGAAACCAAGCCUAGAUUCUAAUAUCCUAAGUCUGAGCAUUAGUAUCUGAACUCUGGUAUCUGGCGUCUGAUGUCUGGUCUAGUGGCGGACGGGUGAGUAACGCGUGAGCAACCUGCCUUACAGAGGGGGAUAACAUUCGGAAACAAAUGCUAAUACCGCAUAACAUAUAUUUACGGCAUCGUAGAUAUAUCAAAAGGAGCAAAUCCGCUGUAAGAUGGGCUCGCGUCCGAUUAGAUAGUUGGUGAGGUAAUGGCUCACCAAAGUCUGCGAUCGGUAGCCGGACUGAGAGGUUGAACGGCCACAUUGGGACUGAGACACGGCCCAGACUCCUACGGGAGGCAGCAGUGGGGG
Molecule: ribosomal RNA, 468 nt
Filed under: uncultured bacterium
Lineage: Bacteria
Description: bacterial SSU rRNA
Rfam family: Bacterial small subunit ribosomal RNA
Source: RNAcentral